Molecule: ribosomal RNA, 434 nt
Filed under: uncultured Oscillospiraceae bacterium
Lineage: Bacteria; Bacillati; Bacillota; Clostridia; Eubacteriales; Oscillospiraceae
Description: bacterial SSU rRNA
Rfam family: Bacterial small subunit ribosomal RNA
Source: RNAcentral
ACGGAAGGCAGCAGUGGGGGAUAUUGCACAAUGGGCGAAAGCCUGAUGCAGCAACGCCGCGUGAGGGAAGACGGUUUUCGGAUUGUAAACCUCUGUUUUUGGUGAAGAUAAUGACGGUAGCCAAAGAGAAAGCCACGGCUAACUACGUGCCAGCAGCCGCGGUAAUACGUAGGUGGCAAGCGUUGUCCGGAAUUACUGGGUGUAAAGGGAGCGCAGGCGGGACAGCAAGUUGGAUGUGAAAUACCGCAGCUUAACUGCGGAGCUGCAUCCAAAACUGUAGUUCUUGAGUGGAGUAGAGGCAGGCGGAAUUCCGAGUGUAGCGGUGAAAUGCGUAGAUAUUCGGAGGGACACCAGUGGCGAAGGCGGCCUGCUGGGCUCUAACUGACGCUGAGGCUCGAAAGUGUGGGGAGCAAACAGGAUUAGAUACCCUGGUA